GAUGAACGCUGGCGGCGUGCCUAAUACAUGCAAGUCGAGCGAACGGACGAGAAGCUUGCUUCUCUGAUGUUAGCGGCGGACGGGUGAGUAACACGUGGAUAACCUACCUAUAAGACUGGGAUAACUUCGGGAAACCGGAGCUAAUACCGGAUAAUAUUUUGAACCGCAUGGUUCAAAAGUGAAAGACGGUCUUGCUGUCACUUAUAGAUGGAUCCGCGCUGCAUUAGCUAGUUGGUAAGGUAACGGCUUACCAAGGCAACGAUGCAUAGCCGACCUGAGAGGGGGAACAGCCACACUGGAACUGAGACACGGUCCAGACUCCUACGGGAGGCAGCAGUAGGGAAUCUUCCGCAAUGGGCGAAAGCCUGACGGAGCAACGCCGCGUGAGUGAUGAAGGUCUUCGGAUCGUAAAACUCUGUUAUUAGGGAAGAACAUAUGUGUAAGUAACUGUGCACAUCUUGACGGUACCUAAUCAGAAAGCCACGGCUAACUACGUG
Molecule: ribosomal RNA, 497 nt
Filed under: uncultured bacterium
Lineage: Bacteria
Description: partial 16S ribosomal RNA
Rfam family: Bacterial small subunit ribosomal RNA
Source: RNAcentral